Salmo salar (Atlantic salmon) is the source of this 1287-nucleotide non-coding RNA. Lineage: Eukaryota; Metazoa; Chordata; Actinopteri; Salmoniformes; Salmonidae. The record is from RefSeq and is a predicted model, not a curated record.
CCGGAAGUUACAGAGACGGAGAGGGACAGAAACAAUCAAACAGCGCUACUCCACAACAUUACUAAGUUUCAGGCCGUCCAAUCACAACCCUGAAGCCCCCUGUCCCCAGCAGGAAAGACCAGGAAAAAGUGUUAGCUGAAGGUACAACUUCCUAUUGAGGAAAUAUCUGCCCACCUGCUCAGUGGGUGACAGGUCUUUCCACCAAGCUGUUCCAGGCCUGGAGUGGCAUGCUGGAACUUCCAGAGGCUUCUACACCUGAAGCAUUGUGAUGUGGUCCAGAUCUGACAGCACUAUUAGCUCAACCACAGUCUUCACAGCUGCAGUCGUCUGCCCCUGCACCUGCUACACCGGCCACGACAGCUGAUACAGAUCUGCCAGCCCCAGCAGUUCAGCUGCAGUCUCAGCAGUCCUCUGCUGUGGUCUUUCAUUUACCGGCUGCACCAGUUCCUACUACACUGGCCGUGAAGGGAGGAACUGUUGAGGAGACCCAGAUGGAUACAGAUCUGCCUGACAGCCUCACCCAGAAGACACUGGGCCUAUCAAGACUGACAAAGCAGAGAUGGGUGGCUGACAAGGAAAAAUAAAACACAACACACACAUUAUCCACAAUACGCAGGGCUGCGGGUUUUGGCAGAGAGCUACACACAGAGAGGCCUCAAUAUUCAGCUAUACAAAGGAAGUCGGCAGACCUGCAACCCCUGGACUGUGUGGGUUUUGUCAUCUGGAGCUGAAAAAUAGAGAGAUGGGAGGAAGAGUGGAGUUUAAAGGUUUAUCAUUAACAACAGACACAAUUCUAGAAUUAAUUCAUAUUAGAAUAUAUUACAUAAUAGUGACCAGUAGUUACUGUAUUGUGAUUGUUUAGUCGUAGUUACUGUAUUGUGAUGGUUUAGUCAUAGUUACUGUAUUGUGAUUGUUUAGUCGUAGUUACUGUAUUGUGAUUGUUAGUCGUAGUCACUGUAUUUUGAUUGUUUAGUAAUAGUUACUGUAUUGUGAUUGUUUAGUCAUAGUUACUGUAUUGUGAUUGUUUAGUCAUAGUUACUGUAUUGUGAUUGUUUAGUGUUUUAUUUACUCAAUCAAGUAUUGCCCCAAGGAGGGAUCGAACUGUGUCUCAAAAGCAGCAGAAAAGGUCAAAUUAGGUCACCAAAAUGUCCGUUACGGCUGUACACGACUGGUCCCCGCGUAACAAUCUGUAGUUCUGCCCCUGAACAAGGUAGGCCGUCAUUGUAAAUAACAAUUUGUUCUUAACUGACUUGCCUAGUUAAAUAUAAUAAAAAUGUUUUUUAAAUA